AUUGAACGCUGGCGGCAUGCCUUACACAUGCAAGUCGAACGGCAGCGCGUCCUUCGGGAUGGCGGCGAGUGGCGAACGGGUGAGUAAUACAUCGGAACGUGCCCGAGAGUGGGGGAUAACGCAGCGAAAGCUGUGCUAAUACCGCAUACGAUCUCAGGAUGAAAGCAGGGGACCGCAAGGCCUUGCGCUCACGGAGCGGCCGAUGGCAGAUUAGGUAGUUGGUGGGAUAAAAGCUUACCAAGCCGACGAUCUGUAGCUGGUCUGAGAGGACGACCAGCCACACUGGGACUGAGACACGGCCCAGACUCCUACGGGAGGCAGCAGUGGGGAAUUUUGGACAAUGGGCGCAAGCCUGAUCCAGCCAUGCCGCGUGAGUGAAGAAGGCCUUCGGGUUGUAAAGCUCUUUCGGGCGGGGAAGAAAUCGCAUCUCCUAAUACGGGGUGUGGAUGACGGUACCCGAAUAAGAAGCACCGGCUAACUACGUG
This 485-nucleotide ribosomal RNA is filed under the name uncultured bacterium. Its description in RNAcentral is "bacterial SSU rRNA". It matches the Rfam family "Bacterial small subunit ribosomal RNA", at positions 29 to 507 of the family's 1533-position model. The record is from RNAcentral.